UGCCAGGGUAGUUUAAUAAAACAUUAGGUCGUGACCCUAACGAUAGAUACUUUUUCUUCUUGGCC
This 65-nucleotide transfer RNA is filed under the name Phrynocephalus przewalskii. Its description in RNAcentral is "tRNA-His". The record is from RNAcentral. Lineage: Eukaryota; Metazoa; Chordata; Lepidosauria; Squamata; Agamidae.